RNA transcript from Triticum aestivum (bread wheat), 1628 nucleotides. It is a transcript of the gene named protein COFACTOR ASSEMBLY OF COMPLEX C SUBUNIT B CCB2, chloroplastic, with no coding region annotated. The record is from RefSeq and is a predicted model, not a curated record. The transcript is spliced from 8 exons. Lineage: Eukaryota; Viridiplantae; Streptophyta; Magnoliopsida; Poales; Poaceae.
CAGGACUUGCAUAGCGCAGCCGCUGCGACCUGCCACCACCCAUCCGCCAUGGCUCUCCUCGUCCGUGCACCACCGCUUCUCCACCUACAGCCUUCCCCCACCACCGCGCAAGCUUUCUUCGUCCGGCAACUCGCAUCCACACCCCGCCGCCGCCCCCUCUCCGCCCGCGUCCGCGUGCGCGCCUCCAACUCCGACCCUCCGCAGCAGGUCAACCUCUCCGUCCUCCGCUUCACCCUCGGGAUCCCCGGGCUGGACGAGUCGUACCUCCCGCGGUGGAUAGGCCUCGGCUUCGGCGCCCUCGUCCUCCUCAACCACCUCCUCUCGCCGUCCCCAACCCCCGCGCAGCUCAGGUCGGAGGCUCUGGGGCUGUGCCUGGCCGCGUUCUCAGCGGCGCUGCCGUACCUCGGGCGCUUCCUAGAGGGUGCUGGUGCUUCCAGCCGUGUGCCGUUGCCUGAAGGAAGCAGGCAGGUGUUUGUGAUUCCUGAUGAUCUGUCAACGGCGCAGAAAGAGGAUAUGGCCUGGGCGACAUAUGUUCUGCUGCAGAACACAAACACCACAUCAGUGCUCAUAGCAAUUGGCAAUGUGUUGUGCAUCCGAGGAUACUGGGAUCCUCCUGCAGAUAUCUCUAAAUAUGCAAUGAUUAAUUGGUUCAAGAGUCAGAUGGAACAAGCUGGACUCAACAAUCUGAGCAGUGCUUUGUACUUUCCUAAUUUUUCUGACCAACCAUGCUGGUUUCAUCAGACACCCAGCUUGGGAAUAUUCUACCACAAGGAAUUCUUUCUGUGUUAGCACAACCAAUUGUGAGCAACCCUGAUCCAGCUAACGGCGAAUCAAGAGCUGAAGGUGUCGUCCUGUUGGCCUCCAAUGCGAAUUAUGCAUACAGUGAGAAAGAUAUGGUUUGGAUAAGAACAGUUGCAAAUAAAUUUCGACUUGCGUAAAUCAUCAACACCCAAGUUAACACUAAAAGGGGUUUAUUUGUCACUUCUUUGGAGCCAUACAUGUAGGUCGUAAGUUACUGCAUCUUGUUGGUAGGUAACAGUUGGACAAGCACAGAUGUUAUGAUUCGCUUAGUGGAUGGAUGUCUCAAGUCUGUGGUCACCAACAGCCAUAUCAAGUCUGUGAUCGGAAUGAGUACUUUGCAAGAGAAGGAGGCAGAGGCGGAACAUGCAAGUGGCGCCGUGGAGCUAGGAACUAUUAGUUGAUGGGCCUCAUAAUGCCAUUACAUGUCUAAUUAGCACAAUAACCAUCCCUUAUCCAGCUGAAGGUGUGGUCUGAAUAAGAGCGUGGUUGGUUGGUUCCUAUGGGCCGAUCUCAACGCGUCAUCAUCAUCCUGUGGCCUUGAUCUGCCUUGGCUUCUUGUGAACUCUCUGGGGCUUGAAAUCAUUUGUUCUAGAGCAUCAUCAGUUGGGCAUCCUUCCAAAGGCUUCUCCCAGGAGCCCUCUGCUGUGUUCUCUCACAAGCUUGAGAAUGCACCUAACUACUUACGUCGUCUCAUGCGGUGUUGUUUAAUGCAUGCCGUCUGAUAUGGUUGAAGCAUCAAGCUGUAUUCUGUACUGUAUGGUACCAUGUUCGCCCUGUGGCUACUGUCACGCUGGGAGAUUAAAUGGUCCACUCGUCUAUUGUGUGAA